Molecule: ribosomal RNA, 446 nt
Filed under: uncultured bacterium
Lineage: Bacteria
Description: partial 16S ribosomal RNA
Rfam family: Bacterial small subunit ribosomal RNA
Source: RNAcentral
CCUACGGGAGGCUGCAGUCGAGAAUCAUUCACAAUGGGGGAAACCCUGAUGGUGCGACGCCGCGUGGGGGAAUGAAGGUCUUCGGAUUGUAAACCCCUGUCAUGUGGGAGCAAAUUAAAAAGAUAGUACCACAAGAGGAAGAGACGGCUAACUCUGUGCCAGCAGCCGCGGUAAUACAGAGGUCUCAAGCGUUGUUCGGAAUCACUGGGCGUAAAGCGUGCGUAGGCUGUUUCGUAAGUCGUGUGUGAAAGGCGCGGGCUCAUCCCGCGGACGGCACAUGAUACUGCGAGACUAGAGUAAGGGAGGGGGAACCGGAAUUCUCGGUGUAGCAGUGAAAUGCGUAGAUAUCGAGAGGAACACUCGUGGCGAAGGCGGGUUCCUGGACAUUAACUGACGCUGAGGCACGAAGGCCAGGGGAGCGAAAGGGAUUAGAUACCCCAGUAGUC